GGUCGAGGACCCAUCAGCCUUUCUUCCACCCUCCCUGGCACUCUGUAUUGAACCGUGGAACACUCUAGUAGAAACAGCCAAACAAGUUGCCUCUGGUCAUUCCUGCAUCAGACAUUUGUUGACUACUGCAGAGAGCAUGGAGAAGUUCAGCAUUGUAGAGACUACAAACCUGUGUAGACUGGCCAAAUCCAGAGAAAACAUCCUUGGAAGUAGGUGCAAUUUGAGACAGCAUGAACAGGGGAGGGGCAGAGAGAGAGGGAGACACAGAAUCCAAAGCAAGCUCCAGGCUCUGAGCCAUCAGCACAGAGCCUGAUGCAGGGCUUGAACUCAUGAACCAUGAGAUGAUGACCUGAGCUGAAGUCAGACACUUAACUGACUGAGCCACCCAGGUGCCCUGAUGUUUGCAUUUUCAUAAGUAGCUUUAACCAUUUUUAUCUCCAUACAAAUUCUUGUGUCCACUUAUAUUGCCUAGAUUAUUCUCUACUUAGAGAUUUUAUAAAGGGAAUAUUUACACCUGGU
Molecule: long non-coding RNA, 519 nt
Organism: Acinonyx jubatus (cheetah)
Lineage: Eukaryota; Metazoa; Chordata; Mammalia; Carnivora; Felidae
Exons: 3
Source: RefSeq, a predicted model, not a curated record